GGUGCAAGCAUUAAUCGGGAAUUACUGGGCGUAAAGCGUGCGCAGGCGGUUUUGUAAGACUGUCGUGAAAUCCCCGGGCUCAACCUGGGAAUGGCGAUGGUGACUGCAAGGCUAGAGUUUGGCAGAGGGGGGUAGAAUUCCACGUGUAGCAGUGAAAUGCGUAGAUAUGUGGAGGAACACCGAUGGCGAAGGCAGCCCCCUGGGUCAAAACUGACGCUCAUGCACGAAAGCGUGGGGAGCAAACAGGAUUAGAUACCCUGGUAGUCCACGCCCUAAACGAUGUCUACUAGUUGUCGGGUCUUAAUUGACUUGGUAACGCAGCUAACGCGUGAAGUUAGACCGCCUGGGGAGUACGGUCGCAAGAUUAAAACUCAAAGGAAUUGACGGGGACCCGCACAAGCGGUGGAUGAUUUGGAUUAAUUCGAUGCAACGCGAAAAACCUUACCUACCCUUUGACAUGGAUGGAAUCCUUUGANAGAUUGAAGAAUUCCCCGAAAAGGGAACCAUUACACAGUUCUGCCAUGCUGUCGUCACUCCUUUUCCNUGAGAUGUUUGGUUUAAUU
RNAcentral lists this ribosomal RNA (563 nucleotides) under Ralstonia sp. CAFB-pxyl-3. RNAcentral's name for it is "bacterial SSU rRNA". It matches the Rfam family "Bacterial small subunit ribosomal RNA", at positions 531 to 1086 of the family's 1533-position model. The record is from RNAcentral. Lineage: Bacteria; Pseudomonadati; Pseudomonadota; Betaproteobacteria; Burkholderiales; Burkholderiaceae.